AAUAUAAGUGGUCUUAUCGCCCCAAUCUGAUUAUUCAGGCCUUGGGGAGGAAAGUCCGGGCACCAAAGGGAAGCAUAGCGGCUAACGGCCGCCUCUCGAUUUCGAUCGAGACGGACCAGUGCAACAGAAAGAAUGUACAGGUUAAGCUGUAGUGAAAUCAGGUAAACUCUAUGCGGUGAAAUGCCACAUAAGCCUGCGAUUGAGAGUUCCCGCUCGAUGUAGGUGGGUAGGCAGAUAGACCUCAUUAGCAAUGAUGAGGCUAGAUAAAUGAUAAGAACGCUCCGACUUGUCGGGGUAAGACAGAACCCGGCUUAUAAGCUUAUAUUUUUU
RNAcentral lists this RNase P RNA (330 nucleotides) under Roseivirga misakiensis. RNAcentral describes it as "Fabibacter misakiensis Bacterial RNase P class A". It matches the Rfam family "Bacterial RNase P class A". Rfam says of the family: Ribonuclease P (RNase P) is a ubiquitous endoribonuclease, found in archaea, bacteria and eukarya as well as chloroplasts and mitochondria. Its best characterised activity is the generation of mature 5'-ends of tRNAs by cleaving the 5'-leader elements of precursor-tRNAs. Lineage: Bacteria; Pseudomonadati; Bacteroidota; Cytophagia; Cytophagales; Roseivirgaceae. The record is from Rfam by way of RNAcentral.